This 253-nucleotide ribosomal RNA is filed under the name uncultured bacterium. RNAcentral's name for it is "partial 16S ribosomal RNA". It matches the Rfam family "Bacterial small subunit ribosomal RNA", at positions 524 to 776 of the family's 1533-position model. The record is from RNAcentral.
UACGUAGGGUGCAAGCGUUGUCCGGAAUUAUUGGGCGUAAAGAGCUCGUAGGCGGUCUGUCGCGUCUGCUGUGAAAACCUAGGGCUUAACUCUGGGCGUGCAGUGGGUACGGGCAGGCUAGAGUGCGGUAGGGGAGACUGGAAUUCCUGGUGUAGCGGUGAAAUGCGCAGAUAUCAGGAGGAACACCGGUGGCGAAGGCGGGUCUCUGGGCCGUAACUGACGCUGAGGAGCGAAAGCAUGGGGAGCAAACAGG